RNAcentral lists this ribosomal RNA (324 nucleotides) under Triticum aestivum (bread wheat). Its description in RNAcentral is "partial small subunit ribosomal RNA". Lineage: Eukaryota; Viridiplantae; Streptophyta; Magnoliopsida; Poales; Poaceae. The record is from RNAcentral.
AUGACGAACACCACAGUAUUCGAAGAAUCAACGAUGAAUGAACAAAUUUCACAAUACAAAAUUUCUAUAUAUACACAAAAUACAUCAUCACUUGCUGAUCCAAGGCAAAACAGAAUACACCAUUACUCUAUCUACACAGAAUAUUUCACAAUAGCAGCCCCAGAUCCAGUAUGCAUCCAUUUUGAGUUCGAUCGACACCAGUGCCUCCCUGCGAGCAUCCCCUGUGCCCGUGGUCGCCGGAGCAGCAGCAACCAGCAGCCACGCCCCUCUCCCUUCUUUCUUUCUCCAAAAACAGAGUACAUCGACGCCACCACGGAUGCCUGA